UGGAUCCAGACUUUGAUCAUGGCUCAGGAUGAACGCUAGCUACAGGCCUAACACAUGCAAGUCGAGGGGCAGCAUUUUUCCAGCUUGCUGGAAAAGAUGGCGACCGGCGCACGGGUGAGUAACACGUAUCCAACCUUCCGUUUACUCAGGGACAGCCUUUCGAAAGAAAGAUUAAUACCUGAUAGUAUCGAGAGAUUGCAUGAUAGCCCGAUUAAAGAUUAAUCGGUAAACGAUGGGGAUGCGUUCCAUUAGCUUGUUGGCGGGGUAACGGCCCACCAAGGCGACGAUGGAUAGGGGUUCUGAGAGGAAGGUCCCCCACAUUGGAACUGAGACACGGUCCAAACUCCUACGGGAGGCAGCAGUGAGGAAUAUUGGUCAAUGGGCGAGAGCCUGAACCAGCCAAGUAGCGUGAAGGAUGAAGGUUCUAUGGAUUGUAAACUUCUUUUAUACGGGAAUAAAACCUCCCACGUGUGGGAGCUUGUAUGUACCGUAUGAAUAAGCAUCGGCUAACUCUGUGCCAGCAGCCGCGGUAAUACGGAGGAUGCGAGCGUUAUCCGGAUUUAUUGGGUUUAAAGGGAGCGCAGACGGGAGAUUAAGUCAGCUGUGAAAGUUUGCGGCUCAACCGUAAAAUUGCAGCUGAUACUGGUUUCCUUGAGUGCGGUUGAGGUGUGCGGAAUUCGUGGUGUAGCGGUGAAAUGCUUAGAUAUCACGAAGAACCCCGAUUGCGAAGGCAGCACACUAAGCCGUAACUGACGUUCAUGCUCGAAAGUGUGGGUAUCAAACAGGAUUAGAUACCCUGGUAGUCCACGCGGUAAACGAUGGAUACUCGCUGUUGGCGAUAUACAGUCAGCGGCCAAGCGAAAGCAUUAAGUAUCCCACCUGGGGGGUACGCCGGCAACGGUGCAACUCAAAGGAAUUGACGGA
RNAcentral lists this ribosomal RNA (924 nucleotides) under uncultured Bacteroidota bacterium. RNAcentral's name for it is "bacterial SSU rRNA". It matches the Rfam family "Bacterial small subunit ribosomal RNA", at positions 1 to 917 of the family's 1533-position model. The record is from RNAcentral. Lineage: Bacteria; Pseudomonadati; Bacteroidota.